AGUGAACGCUGGCGGUAGGCCUAACACAUGCAAGUCGAACGGCAGCACAGUAAGAGCUUGCUCUUACGGGUGGCGAGUGGCGGACGGGUGAGGAAUACAUCGGAAUCUACUUUUUCGUGGGGAAUAACGUAGGGAAACUUACGCUAGUACCGCAUACGACCUACGGGUGAAAGCAGGGGAUCUUCGGACCUUGCGCGAUUGAAUGAGCCGAUGUCGGAUUAGCUAGUUGGCGGGGUAAAGGCCCACCAAGGCGACGAUCCGUAGCUGGUCUGAGAGGAUGAUCAGCCACACUGGAACUGAGACACGGUCCAGACUCCUACGGGAGGCAGCAGUGGGGAAUAUUGGACAAAGGGCGCAAGCCUGAUCCAGCCAUACCGCGUGGGUGAAGAAGGCCUUCGGGUUGUAAAGCCCUUUUGUUGGGAAAGAAAAGCAGCAGGUUAAUACCCCGCUGUUCUGACGGUACCCAAAGAAUAAGCACCGGCUAACUUCGUG
RNAcentral lists this ribosomal RNA (492 nucleotides) under uncultured bacterium. Its description in RNAcentral is "partial 16S ribosomal RNA". It matches the Rfam family "Bacterial small subunit ribosomal RNA", at positions 29 to 507 of the family's 1533-position model. The record is from RNAcentral.